GACGAACGCUGGCGGCGUGCUUAACACAUGCAAGUCGAACGGAAAGGCCCUGCUUUUGUGGGGUGCUCGAGUGGCGAACGGGUGAGUAACACGUGAGUAACCUGCCCUUGACUUUGGGAUAACUUCAGGAAACUGGGGCUAAUACCGGAUAGGAGCUCCUGCUGCAUGGUGGGGUUGGAAAGUUUCGGCGGUUGGGGAUGGACUCGCGGCUUAUCAGCUUGUUGGUGGGGUAGUGGCUUACCAAGGCUUUGACGGGUAGCCGGCCUGAGAGGGUGACCGGCCACAUUGGGACUGAGAUACGGCCCAGACUCCUACGGGAGGCAACAGUGGGGAAUAUUGCACAAUGGGCGGAAGCCUGAUGCAGCAACGCCGCGUGCGGGAUGACGGCCUUCGGGUUGUAAACCGCUUUCGCCUGUGACGAAGCGUGAGUGACGGUAAUGGGUAAAGAAGCACCGGCUAACUACGU
RNAcentral lists this ribosomal RNA (466 nucleotides) under uncultured bacterium. RNAcentral describes it as "partial 16S ribosomal RNA". It matches the Rfam family "Bacterial small subunit ribosomal RNA", at positions 28 to 506 of the family's 1533-position model. The record is from RNAcentral.